Molecule: ribosomal RNA, 496 nt
Filed under: uncultured bacterium
Lineage: Bacteria
Description: partial 16S ribosomal RNA
Rfam family: Bacterial small subunit ribosomal RNA
Source: RNAcentral
AUGCACGCUGGCGGCGUGCCUAAUCCAUGCAAGUCGAGCGAACGGACGAGAAGCUUGCUUCUCUGAUGUUAGCGGCGGACGGGUGAGUAACACGUGGAUAACCUACCUAUAAGACUGGGAUAACUUCGGGAAACCGGAGCUAAUACCGGAUAAUAUUUUGAACCGCAUGGUUCAAAAGUGAAAGACGGUCUUGCUGUCACUUAUAGAUGGAUCCGCGCUGCAUUAGCUAGUUGGUAAGGUAACGGCUUACCAAGGCAACGAUGCAUAGCCGACCUGAGAGGGUGAUCGGCCACACUGGAACUGAGACACGGUCCAGACUCCUACGGGAGGCAGCAGUAGGGAAUCUUCCGCAAUGGGCGAAAGCCUGACGGAGCAACGCCGCGUGAGUGAUGAAGGUCUUCGGAUCGUAAAACUCUGUUAUUAGGGAAGAACAUAUGUGUAAGUAACUGUGCACAUCUUGACGGUACCUAAUCAGAAAGCCACGGCUAACUACGUG